CGAUUAGCUCAGCGGGAGAGCGCUUCCCUGACACGGAAGAGGUCACUGGUUCAAUCCCAGUAUCG
Molecule: transfer RNA, 65 nt
Filed under: Streptomyces sp. OspMP-M45
Lineage: Bacteria; Bacillati; Actinomycetota; Actinomycetes; Kitasatosporales; Streptomycetaceae
Also listed under: 10 other names
Description: tRNA_Val_GAC
Rfam family: tRNA
About the family: Transfer RNA (tRNA) molecules are approximately 80 nucleotides in length. Their secondary structure includes four short double-helical elements and three loops (D, anti-codon, and T loops).
Source: RNAcentral